Marasmius sp. AFHP31 is the source of this 95-nucleotide non-coding RNA. Lineage: Eukaryota; Fungi; Basidiomycota; Agaricomycetes; Agaricales; Marasmiaceae. The record is from the annotation of a GenBank genome assembly.
GGCCUGAUGGUCUAGUAGUAUGAUUCCUUGUUAGGGUGAGAAGGAGGUUCAAAGGCAUAUCGAGGAGGUCCCGGGUUCAAUUCCCGGUCAGGCCC